AAUAAAUCAAAUGUUAAGCGUUUUCAACUAUUGAAAAGGGGAUGAGUAGAUGGGAACAAUCGUGUGUCAGACCUGCAACCAGACCAUUGAACAUUUUGAAGUUGAAAAAGUCACAACAUUAUAUGCGAAGUGCCCUAGUU
This 140-nucleotide small RNA is filed under the name Halalkalibacterium halodurans C-125. RNAcentral describes it as "Bacillus halodurans C-125 SR1 sRNA". It matches the Rfam family "SR1 sRNA". The record is from Rfam by way of RNAcentral. Lineage: Bacteria; Bacillati; Bacillota; Bacilli; Caryophanales; Bacillaceae.